UACAGAGGGGGCAAGCGUUAUUCGGAAUUAUUGGGCGUAAAGGGCGCGUAGGCGGCUUGGCAAGUGGAAGGUGAAAUCCCUCGGCUUAACCGAGGAACUGCCCUCCAAACUGCUUUGCUUGAGGCCGGGAGAGGUGAGUGGAAUUCCCGGUGUAGCGGUGAAAUGCGUAGAUAUCGAGAGGAACACCUGCGGCGAAGGCGGGUUGCUGGGCUGACACUGACGCUGAAGCGCGAAAGCUAGGGGAGCGAACGGG
RNAcentral lists this ribosomal RNA (253 nucleotides) under uncultured bacterium. Its description in RNAcentral is "partial 16S ribosomal RNA". It matches the Rfam family "Bacterial small subunit ribosomal RNA", at positions 524 to 776 of the family's 1533-position model. The record is from RNAcentral.